RNAcentral lists this ribosomal RNA (253 nucleotides) under uncultured bacterium. RNAcentral describes it as "partial 16S ribosomal RNA". It matches the Rfam family "Bacterial small subunit ribosomal RNA", at positions 524 to 776 of the family's 1533-position model. The record is from RNAcentral.
UACGGAGGGUGCAAGCGUUAUCCGGAUUCACUGGGUUUAAAGGGUGCGUAGGCGGGUUGGUAAGUCCGUGGUGAAAUCCCCAAGCUUAACUUGGGAACUGCCGUGGAUACUAUCAAUCUUGAAUAUCGUGGAGGUAAGCGGAAUAUGUCAUGUAGCGGUGAAAUGCUUAGAUAUGACAUAGAACACCAGUUGCGUAGGCAGCUUACUACACGAUCAUUGACGCUGAGACACGAAAGCCAAGGGAGCAAACAGG